AAUUAUACCGUGAAACUGCGAAUGGCUCAUUAAAUCAGUUAUCGUUUAUUUGAUAGUACCUUACUACUUGGAUAACCGUGGUAAUUCUAGAGCUAAUACAUGCUAAAAACCCCAACUUCGGGAGGGGUGUAUUUAUUAGAUAAAAAACCAACGCCCUUCGGGGCUUCUUGGUGAUUCAUGAUAACUUUACGGAUCGCAUGGCCUUGCGCCGGCGACGGUUCAUUCAAAUUUCUGCCCUAUCAACUUUCGAUGGUAAGGUAUUGGCUUACCAUGGUUUCAACGGGUAACGGGGAAUUAGGGUUCGAUUCCGGAGAGGGAGCCUGAGAAACGGCUACCACAUCCAAGGAAGGCAGCAGGCGCGCAAAUUACCCAAUCCCGACACGGGGAGGUAGUGACAAUAAAUACUGAUACAGGGCUCUUUUGGGUCUUGUAAUUGGAAUGAGUACAAUUUAAACCUCUUAACGAGGAACAAUUGGAGGGCAAGUCUGGUGCCAGCAGCCGCGGUAAUUCCAGCUCCAAUAGCGUAUAUUAAAGUUGUUGCAGUUAAAAAGCUCGUAGUUGAAACUUGGGUCUGGCUGGCAGGUCCGCCUCACCGCGUGUACUUGUCCGGCCGGGCCUUCCUUCUGGAGAACCUCAUGCCCUUUACUGGGCGUGUUGGGGACCAGGACUUUUACUUUGAAAAAAUUAGAGUGUUCAAAGCAGGCCUUUGCUCGAAUACGUUAGCAUGGAAUAAUAGAAUAGGACGUGCGGUCCUAUUUUGUUGGUUUCUAGGACCGCCGUAAUGAUUAAUAGGGACAGUCGGGGGCAUCAGUAUUCAAUUGUCAGAGGUGAAAUUCUUGGAUUUAUUGAAGACUAACUACUGCGAAAGCAUUUGCCAAGGAUGUUUUCAUUAAUCAGUGAACGAAAGUUAGGGGAUCGAAGACGAUCAGAUACCGUCGUAGUCUUAACCGUAAACUAUGCCGACUAGGGAUCGGGCGAUGUUCUUUUUCUGACUCGCUCGGCACCUUACGAGAAAUCAAAGUUUUU
RNAcentral lists this ribosomal RNA (1026 nucleotides) under Stagonospora sp. Its description in RNAcentral is "SSU rRNA". It matches the Rfam family "Eukaryotic small subunit ribosomal RNA", at positions 72 to 1108 of the family's 1831-position model. The record is from RNAcentral. Lineage: Eukaryota; Fungi; Ascomycota; Dothideomycetes; Pleosporales; Massarinaceae.